ACGCUGGCGGCGUGCCUAAUACAUGCAAGUCGAACGAGAGCGACCGGUGCUUGCACUGGUCAAUCCAGUGGCGAACGGGUGAGUAACACGUGGGUAACCUGCCCAUCAGAGGGGGAUAACAUUCGGAAACGGAUGCUAAAACCGCAUAGGUCUUCGAACCGCAUGGUUUGAAGAGGAAAAGAGGCGCAAGCUUCUGCUGAUGGAUGGACCCGCGGUGCAUUAGCUAGUUGGUGAGGUAACGGCUCACCAAGGCCGUGAUGCAUAGCCGACCUGAGAGGGUGAUCGGCCACAUUGGGACUGAGACACGGCCCAAACUCCUACGGGAGGCAGCAGUAGGGAAUCUUCCGCAAUGGACGCAAGCCUGACGGAGCAACGCCGCGUGAGUGAAGAAGGUUUUCGGAUCGUAAAACUCUGUUGUUAGAGAAGAACAAGUGCUAGAGUAACUGUUAGCGCCUUGACGGUAUCUAACCAGAAAGCCACGGCUAACUACGUGCCAGCAGCCGCGGUAAUACGUAGGUGGCAAGCGUUGUCCGGAUUUAUUGGGCGUAAAGCGAGCGCAGGCGGUUCCUUAAGUCUGAUGUGAAAGCCCCCGGCUCAACCGGGGAGGGUCAUUGGAAACUGGGGAACUUGAGUGCAGAAGAGGAGAGUGGAAUUCCAUGUGUAGCGGUGAAAUGCGUAGAUAUAUGGAGGAACACCAGUGGCGAAGGCGACUCUCUGGUCUGUAACUGACGCUGAGGCUCGAAAGCGUGGGUAGCAAACAGGAUUAGAUACCCUGGUAGUCCACGCCGUAAACGAUGAGUGCUAAGUGUUGGAGGGUUUCCGCCCUUCAGUGCUGCAGUUAACGCAUUAAGCACUCCGCCUGGGGAGUACGA
Molecule: ribosomal RNA, 872 nt
Filed under: uncultured Granulicatella sp.
Lineage: Bacteria; Bacillati; Bacillota; Bacilli; Lactobacillales; Carnobacteriaceae
Description: bacterial SSU rRNA
Rfam family: Bacterial small subunit ribosomal RNA
Source: RNAcentral